Molecule: long non-coding RNA, 466 nt
Filed under: Homo sapiens (human)
Lineage: Eukaryota; Metazoa; Chordata; Mammalia; Primates; Hominidae
Description: HSALNT0327502
Source: RNAcentral
AGGGAGAAUGAAAAGAAUGGGCAGCCUAGUGGUUGCUCAGGUGAGCGCAGGUACACAGACCAGGAAGUAUCUCUGCUCCUAACCUCUCUUUAUGUAUGCAUGAAGCUAAUUGUUCAAGUCCAGGGGAAACUGGUGAGACAGGUAGUCCUCAUCCUCCUGGCCCCCAAUCUCCACUGCAUCAGAGACACCUGGACUUGGGGUCAGGUCUGGGGAGAAGCAGCAGCUGGACACGUUGCUCAAGCACCUUUCAGAUAAUGGGGGUGAGGAGACGGAGUUUCACCAUGUUGCCUGAGAAUCAUGUGAUCCUCCCAGCAAUUUGAAUGGACACAAAACUAUGUUUGAAAUAUACAGCAAGAUGGCCACCUGCAAACCAGGAAGAGAGCCCCUACCAGGCUGGUACCUUAAUCUUAGACUUCUCAGCCUGCAGAUUUGUGAGAAAUAAAUGCUUGUUGUUAAAGCCACCUAA